RNAcentral lists this unclassified non-coding RNA (273 nucleotides) under uncultured fungus. RNAcentral describes it as "partial contains 5.8S ribosomal RNA, internal transcribed spacer 2, and large subunit ribosomal RNA". The stretch from base 1 to 52 matches the Rfam family "5.8S ribosomal RNA", at positions 103 to 154 of the family's 154-position model. Lineage: Eukaryota; Fungi. The record is from RNAcentral.
AACGCACCUUGCGCCUCUUGGUAUUCCGAGAGGCAUGCCUGUUUGAGUGUCAUGAAAUCUCAAUCCCCCCGGGUUUAUGAUCUGGGCUGGGACUUGGACUUGGGCGUCUGCCGGUGAAACGGCUCGCCUCAAAUGACUUAGUGGAUCUCUCAGCAUCCGUGGCAGACGUAAUAAGUUUCGUCUCGUCCCUUGCAGAUGAGUCCGCUCACAACCCGCCAUCGCGCACUUUUAGACUCUGACCUCAAAUCAGGUAGGACUACCCGCUGAACUUAA